This 301-nucleotide ribosomal RNA is filed under the name uncultured bacterium. RNAcentral's name for it is "partial 16S ribosomal RNA". It matches the Rfam family "Bacterial small subunit ribosomal RNA", at positions 509 to 807 of the family's 1533-position model. The record is from RNAcentral.
CAGUCGCCACGGUAAUACAGAGGGUGCGAGCGUUAAUCGGAUUUACUGGGCGUAAAGCGUGCGUAGGCGGCUUCUUAAGUCGGAUGUGAAAUCCCUGAGCUUAACUUAGGAAUUGCAUUCGAUACUGGGAAGCUAGAGUAUGGGAGAGGAUGGUAGAAUUCCAGGUGUAGCGGUGAAAUGCGUAGAGAUCUGGAGGAAUACCGAUGGCGAAGGCAGCCAUCUGGCCUAAUACUGACGCUGAGGUACGAAAGCAUGGGGAGCAAACAGGAUUAGAGACCCGAGUAGUCCCUGUCUCUUAUAC